GAGUUUGAUCCUGGCUCAGGACGAACGCUGGCGGCGUGCCUAACACAUGCAAGUCGAACGGGGAUAUUGAUUUCGGUUGAUAUCCUAGUGGCGAACGGGUGGGUAACGCGUGAGCAACCUGACCUUUUGAGGGGGAUAACACCUGGAAACAAGUGCUAAUACCGCAUAAGACCACGGAGCGGCAUCGUUCAGGGGUCAAAGGAGGAAUCCGCAGAAGGAGGGGCUCGCGUCCCAUUAGAUAGUAGGCGGGGUAACGGCCUACCAAGGCGACGAUCAGUAGCCGACCUGAGAGGGUGAUCGGCCACACUGGAACUGAGACACGGUCCAGACUCCUACGGGAGGCAGCAGUGGGGAAUAUUGGGCAAUGGGGGAAACCCUGACCCAGCAACGCCGCGUGAGGGAAGAAGGCUUUCGAGUUGUAAACCUCUGUCCUAUGGGAAGAAGAAAGUGACUGUACCAUAGGAGGAAGCUCCGGCUAACUACGUGCCAGCCGCCGCGGUAAUAC
RNAcentral lists this ribosomal RNA (505 nucleotides) under uncultured bacterium. RNAcentral's name for it is "bacterial SSU rRNA". It matches the Rfam family "Bacterial small subunit ribosomal RNA", at positions 9 to 526 of the family's 1533-position model. The record is from RNAcentral.